RNAcentral lists this ribosomal RNA (484 nucleotides) under uncultured bacterium. Its description in RNAcentral is "partial 16S ribosomal RNA". It matches the Rfam family "Bacterial small subunit ribosomal RNA", at positions 30 to 507 of the family's 1533-position model. The record is from RNAcentral.
AUUGAACGCUGGCGGCAGGCCUAACACAUGCAAGUCGAGCGGAUGAAGGGAGCUUGCUCCUGGAUUCAGCGGCGGACGGGUGAGUAAUGCCUAGGAAUCUGCCUGGUAGUGGGGGAUAACGUCCGGAAACGGGCGCUAAUACCGCAUACGUCCUGAGGGAGAAAGUGGGGGAUCUUCGGACCUCACGCUAUCAGAUGAGCCUAGGUCGGAUUAGCUAGUUGGUGGGGUAAAGGCCUACCAAGGCGACGAUCCGUAACUGGUCUGAGAGGAUGAUCAGUCACACUGGAACUGGGCCACGGUCCAGACUCCUACGGGAGGCAGCAGUGGGGAAUAUUGGACAGUGGGCGAAAGCCUGAUCCAGCCAUGCCGCGUGUGUGAAGAAGGUCUUCGGAUUGUAAAGCACUUUAAGUUGGGAGGAAGGGCAGUAAGUUAAUACCUUGCUGUUUUGACGUUACCAACAGAAUAAGCACCGGCUAACUUCGUG